This 240-nucleotide long non-coding RNA is filed under the name Coturnix japonica (Japanese quail). RNAcentral's name for it is "lncRNA (ENSCJPG00005004459.1)". The record is from RNAcentral. Lineage: Eukaryota; Metazoa; Chordata; Aves; Galliformes; Phasianidae.
UUUACUGAUUGGGUGAGUUGGGAAAUGAGGAUAGGCUUGUGUCUGCAGCACAUACAUACACAAACAAAUCCUCACACCAAGAGCAUCUGAGAAAAGAGCUAGCCAAGUGUUCCUGCUGCUGGACACUGGAGGAAUCUCAGCAAAGGCACUGAUUUUCAGAGCUGUGAUAAGGUAACUGCAAAUGAUUUAAAGUCCAUACUGUAAGAGAAGUUAAUUUAUUAUAUGAGAAUGAAUUCAGAA